AGUAACGCGUGGGUAACCUGCCUCAUACAGGGGGAUAACAGUUAAAAAUAGACUGCUAAUACCGCAUAAGCGCACAGUGCUGCAUGGCACAGUGUGAAAAACUCCGGUGGUAUGAGAUGGACUCGCGUCUGAUUAGCUAGUUGGUGGGGUAACGGCCUACCAAGGCGACGAUCAGUAGCCGGCCUGAGAGGGUGAACGGCCACAUUGGGACUGAGACACGGCCCAA
This 226-nucleotide ribosomal RNA is filed under the name uncultured bacterium. RNAcentral describes it as "partial 16S ribosomal RNA". It matches the Rfam family "Bacterial small subunit ribosomal RNA", at positions 109 to 334 of the family's 1533-position model. The record is from RNAcentral.